This is an RNA transcript of Aedes albopictus (Asian tiger mosquito), 1644 nucleotides long. It is a transcript of the gene named cuticle protein 8-like, with no coding region annotated. The record is from RefSeq and is a predicted model, not a curated record. The transcript is spliced from 5 exons. Lineage: Eukaryota; Metazoa; Arthropoda; Insecta; Diptera; Culicidae.
CCCAGUUCGUGUAGAGACGUAUCUAUGAGCGCCCGAUUGGUAUCUCAUAUUUCAGCAACACGCUCUCAGUGGCAAUUGCAGGGUUUGGAAGUUCACUAGGCAAAUAGAAUGUAUGUGUAAUCAUCGCGAGGAUACCCGAACCUAAGAACGCUGAUGGCCAAUAGAAGGCAGGCAGCGUGCGCCUCCACCAACCACCAACGUUGGCUGACUGCUGGCUGGUUGGGAAAAUAGCGCGAGAUUCCGUCCCGCACCCAGAACCCGUUGCAGCAUCAUGAUCGCCCUCCAACAUCAUCACUCCUCUCGAAAUACUCUGAUCGGCAUUCGGCCGCAGUAAGUACUCUUCGUUCCGAUGCGCUGCUGGUUGGCUGGCUGAGGCGGUUCGACUGCACCCUAAUCCCAAUUUCUGUCUCUCGAUCAUCUUUCAAGUCAAGAUGUUUCAACAUCUAUCGCGGUAAUUUCGCGCGAGACAUCAACAUCGAAUGCCACCGUUGGCUGUCAGUGUCGCGAAGUGAAUUUUCCUAGUGGAUCCCUGAAGAAACAAUUUCCAAACGGUGCUCCCCAGUAGUGGUCCGUGAAGUUCAGGACAAGAACGUUCAGUAUUUGGAGCAUUUGACCCCAGGCCCAGCCGACGAUAAAUCACGCUCAUCAUCGGCCACCGUAAAGUUACCGUGCCGUCAUUGUCCUCCUCGUCGUCGUCGCUGUUUCGCAAAAGUGCUUUGUUUCCAAAAGUGCAGCAAUUUAUUUGUCUUGAGUACAGUGUUUUGUGAUUCGUGGUGUCAACACAGGGAUUGGCGACUCCCAAGCAGCUCCUCCCAGCCGUUGGCGAAAAGUCUAGUUCUGAUUGAACAAACUAUUGGCAGCAGCCGUAAGACACGAAGCCGACCCCUUCAGAUUCUUAUACCCAGUGUCUUGAGUUGGAAGUGUGCUCCGGAGAACCCAAAGAAGUUUUCGUUCCCCGAAGAGGUGCUGAGCAGCGUUCAAGAUGAACAUGUUAAGAUUAUUUCUUGCGGGGGUGCUGCUGACAAUGGAAAUGCUGUGUGAACAUUUUGUCGAGUUCACGUCCAACUAUCGUACCAACUCACAGAUUGAUUACGCCUUCCGGUACUAUAUCGACCAUCCACAAACGGGUGUUUCAUUGGACCACUGGGAAAAUCGUCGUGGAGACUACGUCCAUGGAGGCUACGGUGUCCUUGAACCAGGAGGAUAUGUCCGUACUGUCCAUUACGAGGUAGAAGGCAACAGUGGAUUCCGAACAGUGAUCAAAACCACCGCCCCAGGGAGCUCCUUGCAGUACAACAUCCACAGUGGCAAAAAGUCCCAGCCACCUCAGCCGUUGUGGAAUGCACAGCCAGUUGCAUUCGUGCAAAGCGGCCAUUAAUCAUAGCGCCAUCAUCCUCCAAAGGGUAUUUCGCAAACCCACCGCCAGCAUCUCCACCGUCAUCAGCAACCCAAAGAUCCCCGUUGCAGACAGCAUCCUCAUCUCACUGCGCUCUUCUGUGUAGCACCGGGCGACGAUGAAACAAAUCGAAUACCUAUACCGCCGAGGCGUUAAUUGUCCCUUGCCAUGCCUAUAACCGUUUAUUAGUGUAGAUUUAUUGUAAAUAAAUAAAGUAAUUGUAGUCGUACUGUCACAGCUGGGAAAGA